Mercenaria mercenaria is the source of this 2689-nucleotide long non-coding RNA. RefSeq lists it as uncharacterized. The record is from RefSeq and is a predicted model, not a curated record. Lineage: Eukaryota; Metazoa; Mollusca; Bivalvia; Venerida; Veneridae. The transcript is spliced from 2 exons.
CGGGGGGUACAUUCACCUUUAGUGAUAGCUGUAGUUAUAAAAGUUUUGCCUAAGUAUCUCCCCAUGUUGAUGUUGGGAAAUACCAAGAUCUAUUAGAAUUUAUUUUCAUAGCGAUAGGAAUGAAAGUUAUCUUAAUGUCCGUGCUGAAACUCGGUUUCUUUUUUACAGCUAGGGAAACCUGGUCUUACACAAGAUCCAUGUAAUCAGGAUGCAUUCAGAAUUCUCUGUUAUAAACAAUCUAACUUAUCAUUCACUUACUUCUGCUUGCAGCAUUCUCUGGUAUAACUCUUGACUUUACCAUUUACUUGCUUCUGCAUGCAGCAUUUUGAUAUAAACUCUUGAAUUUACCAUUUACUUGCUUCUGCUGACAGUAUUCUCUGAUAUAAACUCUUGAAUUUAUCAUUUACUUGCUUCUGCUUGCAGCUUUUUCUGAUAUAAAUACUUGAAUUUAUCAUUUACUUACUUCUGCUUGCAGCAAAAUGAGAAGCCUCCCCCUGGAUCAGCACCUGAGCCUGUCAGUAGAAAGAGACCAGCAGAACCCGAGGCAGAAGCCCCACCAUUGAAAAGACCUGCUGUUACCAAUCCUCCCAAGAUAGAUAAGCCUGUAAAAAAGCCAGAAAAGGCAGUACCAGUAUCACCUACCAAGGCAGCUGGACGUCCCCCUGGUCCAGCACGUCCCCAAGGGCCAGCAAAACCUGCCCCAGCGGCACCAGCACCAGCUGCUACCACAGCAGCCGUGAAGAAGAAGAGCACAGUCUCAAGGAGAGAAGAACUUCUUAAACAGUUGAAGGCUGUUGAAGAUGCAAUUGCUAAGAAGAAAAAGAAAAUGGGUUGAAGAAAUUAGAAAGAAUAAAUGGACAAAAUAAUUCAAGUAAAGGCAAUAAGAAAGGUGGAUCCUUGAUGUAUUGUCAGUUUAUAGGAAUCUGGUGAGGUUACCAUAGAUUCUAGAAAUGAGAUGGAUGAGUGAUGUAGUUUACAGGUAAUGGACCGAGUAAAUUAUGCAUGUUUUGGUUUACCUGAGGAAUCAGUAAAUGUCGACAUAAUUAUGUUACACAAAAGGAAUCGUGACAUACUGUCCAAGGACACGGUUACUAUGACUGCAGAUUUAUAUUGUAAAUCCUUACAAGAAAAAUUGACGUACAUUCAAAUGGCAAAGAAAGUGUGUUCACUACAGUGAAAAACAGUAGUCACUGUGUGCUAAAAUGUAUAUAAAAGAUGAUUUUAAGCUAAUAUUUAAUAUGAAGUUUGUGCAAGGUUGUCUUGAUGAAAUGAUACCUAUAUUCUUAAAUAUAUUUGUCAGGAAGAUGCUUGCACUGUUUAUUUUUAGAAAAAGAAUGUAGAUAUAUCAUGGACAUAUUGUUUGUAUUGUUAACUGUGCAUAAGUUGAAAUUUUAGGUUUUCAUUUAUACCAUAAUUAUAAUCAUGGACAAUAGGAAACUUGGCAAUGUUUCCUUUAGAAAGGCUCCAUAGCCACUUGGUUUAGGUGGCCAACCUCAAAUAAUCACUUGCCCAACACUGAUUUAGAUUUGAAAAGGCCUCUGUGGCUGAGUGGUUAAGGUCUCUGACUGAAUCACUUGCUCCUCGGCACUGUGGGUCCGAAACCUCGUUUGGGGUGUAGAAUUCUUUCAUGUGAGGAAGCCGUCCAGUUGGCUUGUGGAAUGUAGGCGGUUCUACCCAGGUACCCACCCAUGCCUGAAAUUAUGCUUCGGGUGGCAUUUUACUUCCUUCAUCAAGAAAAGAUGACUGCGCCAUUUAAAUGACAAAAUGCUACGCUUUGGCAGGGGGGAUUGGAACAUACAAUGUAUUAGGAUAGUGGAGUAUCAUUAUUGAAACCUGUUCAUUGGUUGUUCACAUAACUUUGUAUGGUAUUCACAAGCAUCUAUUUAUAUGUACAAGCAAGGGAAGGAAGCAUGAUCAACUUUUAGGAAAUGGUGAUCUAUUGAAUAGAACGAUACAAAUCUUGCCUUAAAUAGAGUUACUGAGUGUAGCAGUAUGUUGUCGGGUUUUAUACAAUAAACAAGCUUAUAACAGGCUUAUCUUGGGAAUUAUAGUAUUAACACUUGUUUGGUUUAAUGAUCACUAUCCAGCCAAUUUAAAAUUAAUAUACAAUUUUCUCCGGAUAUUACUGAAUAUUCAGAUUUUCAUGGGAUAAAUACAGUCAACAAUUUUAAACUCUUCAUACAGUUUUUACUGACAAGGUAUUUUUGUUAUAAUUUCUGCUAUUGCAUUGAAAACACCAGGUGCCAUGGCAAUACAUUAUGUACUAAAUUUCUGUUACUAAAACUGGAAAUACCGCUUCAGUGUUAUAUUAAAUAAUCACAUUAAUAGUGAAACAAGUUAUAACAGUAGUUACAAACAUUGAUCUCUUAUGGAAGCCUCAAUACACUGGUGUGUCACCUAUGAUAUUUACAAUUAAAAACUGUGUCUGACUGUACAUUAGGUUUGCUACUACAUGCUCCCUUGUACACGAUGGAGUUAUUAAAGCAUGCAAGAUAGAGGUCUUUAAUACAUUAAAGGGGGUUUUAUUGGAAGCUGUUUAAUUAGCACUACCAUGUUGGUUUUCUUGAAACCUUUGCCAAUUUUAAGUUUUAUCUGUAACACUUUCAGAAAAGUUCUAUUUUUGCUCAUUUGUACAAUGUAUAUACAUCAUGUCUUGGAAAUUGAAAGUAAACCGAUACUGAAACCUAAA